Molecule: long non-coding RNA, 305 nt
Organism: Fundulus heteroclitus (mummichog)
Lineage: Eukaryota; Metazoa; Chordata; Actinopteri; Cyprinodontiformes; Fundulidae
Exons: 3
Source: RefSeq, a predicted model, not a curated record
AGAAAAAAAGAGACACAUUUUUACAAUGCAGUUCAGAAGAAACAUGAAAAACCAUGAAUUUCCAUCCUGAGCUGAGGACCCUGAUGUUCGGUCAUGUUCGUUAAAGCCAGGUUGUCGUUGUGGCCUUAUCUCUCUGUCUUUCAUGCCAAGGUCAAUGCUCUCUCCUAACCAGGGAUGAACCCAUCCAUUGUAUUCGUGGAUUGUGCAAACUGCUCCGUGUCCAGUUGUUUUGUUAUGCUGUGCCCUAUGCGUGUCGCUUCAGUUGCAGGUUAGAAGUUCAGGCUGCAAUAAAACCUGAAAAUGUU